AUGCGUUUUAGGGGCGGAGUCUGGCGGAGGGGGCGUGGCCGAGGGGGCGUGGCUUCGGCCGCCGCUGACCACGCCCCCCGCGCACGCCGUGGGCGGGGCCUGCGGCAGUUCGUGAUGCCAUUGGUCAGCGCCCGCUCGGCUCGGCCAAUCAGGCCCCCCCGGCGCUUCGCGGACACGCCCAUCCCGGAAGUGGCUCGGGAGACUCCCGGGGAGCCCCAAAAUUUCAGUUUGGAACCCCAAAAUUCCAGUUUGGAACCCCAAAAUUCCAUUUUAGAACCCCAAAAUUCCACCCAGGAACCCCAAAAUUCCACCCGGGAACCCCAAAAUUUCAGCCGGGAACCCCAAUAUUCCAUCCGGGAGCCCCAAAAUUCCACCCAGGAACCCCAAAUUCCAUCAUGGACACCCCAAAAUUCCACCCGCGAACCCCAAAAUUCCAUUUUAGAAUCCCAAAAUUCCACCCGGGAACCCCAAAAUUCCAUCCGGGAACUCCAAAAUUCCACCCGGGAGCCCCAAAAUUCCAGCCGGGAACCCCAAAAUUCCACCCAGGAACCCAAAAUUUCAUCAUGGACACCCCAAAAUUCCACCCGGGAACCCCAAAAUUCCAACCGGGACCCCCAAAAUUCCACCCGAGAACCCCAAAAUUCCACCCGGGAACCCCAAAAUUCCACACGGGAACCCCCAAAAUCCACCUGGGGACCCCCAAAAUCCUCCCAGGACCCCCAAAAUUCCACCCGGGACCCCACAAAUUCCACUCGGAACCCCACAAAUUCCACCCGGGACCCCCCAAAAUCCACCUGGGACCCCGAAAAUUCCACCCAAGACCCCCCAAAAUUCAUCCGGGACCCCCCAAAAUGCAUGUUUGACCCCCCAAAUUCCACUCAGGACUCCCCAAAAUCCAUCUGGGACACCCAAAAUUCCAAUCAGGACUCCCCAAAAUCUCUCCAGAACUCCCCAAAUUCCACCUGGGAACCCCCAAAAUCCACCCAAGACCCCCCAAAUUCCACCCCACACCCCCCAAAAUCCCUCCUGGACCGCCCAAAUUCCAACCAAGACACCCCAAAUUCCACCCGGGACCCCCCAAAAUUAAUCUGGGACGCCCAAAAUUCCAUCAUGGACCCCCCAAAUUCCACUCAGGAGUCCCCAAAUUCCACCCAAGACCACCCAAAAUCCACAUGGGACUCCCCAAAUUCCACCCAAAAACCCCCAAAUUCCAUCAUGGACCGCCUUGGGGACCCUCGGGACCCCCCAAAUUCCACUCGGGACCCCCCAAAAUCCUCCCAGGCCGCCCAAAAUUCCACCUGGGAUGCCCAAAAUUCCAAUCAGGACCCCCCAAAAUUCAUCCGGGACCCCCUUGGGGACCCUCAGGACCCCCCAAAUUCCACCCGGGACCCCCCAAAAUCCAUCCUAGGCCCCCCAAAUUCCAUCAUGGACACCCCAAAUUCCACCCCAGACCCCCGAAAUUCCACCCGGGACCCUCCAAAUUCCACCCAGGACCUCCCAAAAUUCAUCAUGGACCCCCCAAAUUUCACUCGGGACGCCCAAAAUUCCACCUGUAACCCCCCAAAAUCCACUCAGGACUCCCCAAAAUUCAUCCAGGACGCCCAAAAUUCCAAUCAGGACCCCCCAAAAUUCAUCCGGGACCCCCUUGGAGACCCUCGGGACCCCCCAAAUUCCACUCAGGACCCCCCAAAUUCCAUCUCGGACCCCCCAAAAUCCACCUGGGAUGCCCAAAAUUCCACUCGGGACCCCACAAAUUCCACCCAAGACCCCCCAAAAUCCACCCGGGACUUCCCAAAAUCCAUCUUGGACCCCCCAGAUUCCAUCAUGGACACCCCAAAUUCCACACGGGAACCCCAAAAUUCCACCCUGAACCCCCCAAAUUCCACUCAGGACCCCCCAAAAUCCACCUGGGACACCCAAAAUUCCAACCAAGACCCCCCAAAAUCUCUCCAGGACCCCCCAAAAUCCAUCCUGGACCCCCCAAAUUCCACCCGGAACCCCCCAAAAUUGCCACGGGAACCCCAAAAUUCCACCCAAAAACCCCCAAAUUCCACUCAGGACCCCCCAAAAUCCAUCGUGGGCCCCCCAAAAUCCUCCCAAGACCCCCCAAAAUCCCCUCAGGACCCCCCAAACCCCUCCCAGGCCCCCCCGCUCUGCCCCUCCCCCCGCCGGGCCCUCCUGAGGGCGCCGACCUUCCGCUGGGCCGGAUGUGACGUCAUCAGAAACGGCCGUGACGUCAUCAAAAACGGACGCGACGUCAUCCAAAAUGGCGGCGACGCCAUCCAAAAUGGCCGCGAGGUCACCGGAAGCGGCUGUGACGUCAUCAAAAAUGGCGGCGAGGUCACCGGAAGCGGCCGUGACGUCAUCAAAAAUGGCCCCGGCGACUCCAAACCCGCCUGUGACGUCAUCGACCUCACCGAUGACGUCACCGAGCCCGCCCGUGACGUCAUCAAAGCCGCCGCCGGUGACGUCAUCAAAGCCGCCGGUGACGUCAUCAACGGCGGCCCCGCCCUCUCCCGCGCCCCCGCGCUGACCUUCGACCCCCGCGUGACCUUUGACCCCCGGCUGACCCUGCGGCUGCUGCAGGUGACCCUGGCCCAGCCCCGGCUGACCUUUGACCCCGCCGCCUUCCGGCCACGCCCCCUCCUCCUCAGCCAAUCGCCGAGCGCCGUGGCGCAGGCCCUGCCCACUUCCGCCAUGGGCCGGCCGCCGGCAGGAAGUGACGUCGCCGCGGCAGGAAGUGACGUCGCCUCGACAGGAAGUGAGGUCACCGUGGUCAGAAAUGGCGACGGGGCGGGCGGUGACGUCACGGGGCGGGGCGAUGACGUCACGGGGCGGGGCGAUGACGUCACCGGGCGCGUCUUCGACCUCCUGAGCCGCGCCCGACAGCAGCUCGGCCGCAUCGACCGCCGGCAGCGGGCGGGGUCGGAGGAGCCUGAGGAGCCCCCGGGGGAGCCCCAGGGGUCCCCCCGGAUCAAACACGUCUGCAGGAGAGCGCCGCCCCCCGAGCCGGGGACCCCCCCUGAAGGUGAGAGACCCCAAAAAAUCCCCAAAAUCCACCCCAAAAUCCACCCCAAAAAUCCCCAAAAUCCACCCCAAAAAACCCCAAAAUCCACCCCAAAAAUCCCCAAAAUCCACCGCAAAAAAUCCCAAAAAUCCAACCCAAAAACCCCCAAAAUCCAGCCCAAAAAUCCCCAAAAAUCCCCAAAACCCACCCUAAAAAUCCCCAAAUCCACCCCAAAAAACCCCAAAAUCCACCCCAAAAAAUCCCCCAAAAUCCAACCCAAAAACCUUCAAAAUCCAACCCAAAAAUCCCCAAAAUUCAUCCCAAAAAAUCUCCAAAACCCCCCCCAAAAACCCCCAAAAUCCACCCCAAAAAUCCCAAAAUCCACCCUAAAAAAUCCCCAAAAUCGACCCCAAAAAAUCCCCAAAAUUUACCCCUAA
RNAcentral lists this long non-coding RNA (3444 nucleotides) under Taeniopygia guttata (zebra finch). Its description in RNAcentral is "lncRNA (ENSTGUG00000020397.1)". The record is from RNAcentral. Lineage: Eukaryota; Metazoa; Chordata; Aves; Passeriformes; Estrildidae.